Molecule: ribosomal RNA, 450 nt
Filed under: uncultured bacterium
Lineage: Bacteria
Description: partial 16S ribosomal RNA
Rfam family: Bacterial small subunit ribosomal RNA
Source: RNAcentral
GUGGGGAAUAUUGGACAAUGGGCGAAAGCCUGAUCCAGCCAUGCCGCGUGUGUGAAGAAGGUCUUCGGAUUGUAAAGCACUUUAAGUUGGGAGGAAGGGUAGUAACCUAAUACGUUGCUACUUUGACGUUACCGACAGAAUAAGCACCGGCUAACUUCGUGCCAGCAGCCGCGGUAAUACGAAGGGUGCAAGCGUUAAUCGGAAUUACUGGGCGUAAAGCGCGCGUAGGUGGUUCAGUAAGUUGGAAGUGAAAUCCCCGGGCUCAACCUGGGAACUGCUUUCAAAACUGCUGAGCUAGAGUACGGUAGAGGGUGGUGGAAUUUCCUGUGUAGCGGUGAAAUGCGUAGAUAUAGGAAGGAACACCAGUGGCGAAGGCGACCACCUGGACUGAUACUGACACUGAGGUGCGAAAGCGUGGGGAGCAAACAGGAUUAGAAACCCCAGUAGUCC